GUCCAUAAGGGUCAUCGGCCUUCUAAGCCGUCGGUCGGGAGUUCGAAUCUCCCCUGGGACG
RNAcentral lists this transfer RNA (61 nucleotides) under Bacillus sp. AG442. RNAcentral's name for it is "tRNA-Arg". It matches the Rfam family "tRNA", at positions 10 to 71 of the family's 71-position model. Rfam says of the family: Transfer RNA (tRNA) molecules are approximately 80 nucleotides in length. Their secondary structure includes four short double-helical elements and three loops (D, anti-codon, and T loops). Further hydrogen bonds mediate the characteristic L-shaped molecular structure. tRNAs have two regions of fundamental functional importance: the anti-codon, which is responsible for specific mRNA codon recognition, and the 3' end, to which the tRNAs corresponding amino acid is attached (by aminoacyl-tRNA synthetases). tRNAs cope with the degeneracy of the genetic code in two manners: having more than one tRNA (with a specific anti-codon) for a particular amino acid; and 'wobble' base-pairing, i.e. permitting non-standard base-pairing at the 3rd anti-codon position. Lineage: Bacteria; Bacillati; Bacillota; Bacilli; Caryophanales; Bacillaceae. The record is from RNAcentral.